This 827-nucleotide ribosomal RNA is filed under the name uncultured bacterium. RNAcentral describes it as "bacterial SSU rRNA". It matches the Rfam family "Bacterial small subunit ribosomal RNA", at positions 681 to 1533 of the family's 1533-position model. The record is from RNAcentral.
GUGAAAUGCUUAGAUAUCACACAGAACACCGAUUGCGAAGGCAGCACACUAAGUCAUUAUUGACGCUGAGGCACGAAAGUGUGGGGAUCAAACAGGAUUAGAUACCCUGGUAGUCCACACUGUAAACGAUGAUAACUCGCUGUCGGCGAUACACAGUCGGUGGCCAAGCGAAAGCAUUAAGUUAUCCACCUGGGGAGUACGACCGCAAGGUUGAAACUCAAAGGAAUUGACGGGGGCCCGCACAAGCGGAGGAACAUGUGGUUUAAUUCGAUGAUACGCGAGGAACCUUACCCGGGCUCGAACGGUGCAUGAAUAUACGAGAGAUUGUAUAGUCCUUCGGGACAUGUAUCGAGGUGCUGCAUGGUUGUCGUCAGCUCGUGCCGUGAGGUGUCGGCUUAAGUGCCAUAACGAGCGCAACCCUUGUCAUUAGUUGCCAUCAGGUCAAGCUGGGGACUUUAAUGAGACUGCCACCGUAAGGUGUGAGGAAGGGGGGGAUGACGUCAAAUCAGCACGGCCCUUAUGUCCGGGGCGACACACGUGUUACAAUGGGAGGUACAGAGGGCAGCUAUCCGGUGACGGAAUGCUAAUCUCCAAAACCUUUCUCAGUUCGGAUUGGAGUCUGCAACUCGACUCCAUGAAGGUGGAUUCGCUAGUAAUCGCGCAUCAGCCAUGGCGCGGUGAAUACGUUCCCGGGCCUUGUACACACCGCCCGUCAAGCCAUGGAAGCUUGGGGUGCCUGAAGUUCGUGACCGCAAGGAGCGACCUAAGGCAAAACAGGUAACUGGGGCUAAGUCGUAACAAGGAACCNAAAGGGCAAUCGUAACNCG